CGCCAGGGACCAUGGACUGGGGACCGACAAACCCCGCCAGGGCAGGAAUGCAGCAACGGUAGUCUUCUCCUCUUUGCCGUGGCUCUCUGGCGGCC
RNAcentral lists this signal recognition particle RNA (95 nucleotides) under Chthoniobacterales bacterium. RNAcentral's name for it is "signal recognition particle sRNA small type". It matches the Rfam family "Bacterial small signal recognition particle RNA". From Rfam's summary of the family: The signal recognition particle (SRP) is a universally conserved ribonucleoprotein involved in the co-translational targeting of proteins to membranes. Archaeal SRP consists of a 7S RNA and homologues of the eukaryotic SRP19 and SRP54 proteins. The record is from RNAcentral. Lineage: Bacteria; Pseudomonadati; Verrucomicrobiota; Spartobacteria; Chthoniobacterales.